UUGUUUUUGUUACAAUGAUUUACAUUCAUUACACUAAUGUUUUUGGUGUUUGUGUCCGGGGCCCGAGAGCCCCAAGACGUACAAGUUCACGGUGUGUGUGGAGUAGACACGGCCAGAGGCCAAAUCUCUAAUGAUCCUUCCGCAGGUUCACCUACGGAAA
This 160-nucleotide unclassified non-coding RNA is filed under the name uncultured fungus. RNAcentral's name for it is "sequence contains ITS1, 5.8S rRNA gene". The record is from RNAcentral. Lineage: Eukaryota; Fungi.